Molecule: small nuclear RNA, 107 nt
Filed under: Cervus elaphus hippelaphus
Lineage: Eukaryota; Metazoa; Chordata; Mammalia; Artiodactyla; Cervidae
Source: RNAcentral
GUGCUUGCUUCGGCAGCACAUAUACUAAAAUUGGAACGAUGCAGAGAAAAUUAGCUUGGCCCCUGUGCAAGGAUGACACACAAAUUCGUGAAGCAUUCCAUAUUUUU